CUCCGUGCGUUCCGUUCGGGGCGCGAGUAGUUGAAUCACCAAGUCGAAUAGACAUAGGUACGACCAUUGAGUUUGUGAUGUCUGUGAUGAAAAGAUGUACGGGGGCUCGACUUAUAUUACGUGCCUGUCGAACACGAAAUGGAGAGGUGAACCAAUAGAUUGCACAGGUAUGAAAAUAAUAUUUAACUAAGUCAAGUGCUUUAAUAAAAUCAUUCUUAUGAUUAUAGCUAAGUCUCGGAUUGCCAUGUGGCUUGUGUGAGGCUUCGUCGUAAAAAUGAAUACGGCCAUUCAUCCCUUUGCAAAUUAUUGCAGUAGAGCUGUUGUCCGUUACUGGCAUAAUAAUGUUGUUUUGGUACUGGUAAAUCACUAGGGUAGGCCGAGAUUUCCGAAUAAAGUGAGAGUAUUACAACUUAACAAGUUCCUGUCAGCUAUGUAUCAAUUGGUCAUGUGGUUGGUGUGGCGAUUGGUCAUAAAAUAUCAUCAGGCCAUUCAUCCAUUUGCAAAUUAUUCCAGUAGAGCGGGUUUCCGUUACUGGCAAAAUAAUAUUGAUCUGAUACUGGUUAAUCGCUAGGGUCGGAGAAGCUUUCCAAUUAUAGUUAGAGUAGAAAAACUUAAACUUACAAGUCCCUGUCCAUCAGAUUUGUAUCAAUUAGUCACGUGGCUUGUGUGGCGAUUCGUCGUUAAUAUCCUUAGGCCAAUUAUCCAUUGACAAAUUAUUCCAGAAGAGUGGCUGUCCGUUUCUGGCCCAGUUAUUUAGUUUAAGUACAAGUAAAUCGCUAGGGUCAACAAAGCUGUCCAUGUUUUGUGCGAGUAUAAUAUCGUAUAGAUAAAAAAUGUAUAAAACAUGUUGUUAAAGGUCCAAACAAACGUAUUAACAUCUGUGUGUUAUGGACGACGUUGACGUUAAAGUAUUCAAUAACAAAUUGUAUUCUCUACACAAUCAUACAUUAAAAAAAUAAAUAUAUCGUUCGAUGAACAACUUUAAAAAACAAUCUGUGAACAUGACAGUAAAAUACGGCGAAAUUUGACAGGGCGGUCCCUAUUUACGGCGGACGUGAACGACCUGGUAAGUAAUGCAACUGUUAUCAAUAGUACUCACAAAUCUGCCAUCACAGAUGCUGAUGUCGACUCUGAUUCAUAUGGAAUAAGCAUUGCAUUUAAAACUGGUGUCGAUGUCUACUUCCUAAUGGAUGUUUCGAAAAGUAUUGAUGAACGCCAGUUCGAAGGGAUGAAACAGUGUGUUACUGCUUUACUUCAAAAUGUAAGUUCUUAUGAAGUAAUUAUUGCCGUUUGUUGUGUAUUUGUAUUGUUAUAAUUGAGCAAACCGGGAGUAUGCAGGUCGUACGUUGUUGUUUAUGUAGGAAUGUGUGUAUACAUAUACACAUUAUAAUAAAAUUCAUAGAAUUAUAGAAAUAACAUGUUCUGAAAAAAACGCGUCCCAUAGCUUUAAUAUUUGGGGUUUUACAUUUGAUUUAAUAUCUUGUUUAAAGUGUGCUCAAAUCAUGUCUCUUCGUUCUUAACUGUUGUAAACCCAUGUUUCUGAUUAUUAUUAAGAAUUGUAUUGUAAACGACUUAAAAAAAAUUAUGUAAACUCAUGGGUCAGUGGUUUAAUAUUUAGCCUCUAGAAUCAUGUUUAAUGUACUUCUAAAGGGUGUAUUCAGAAUAUGACCCUGGGUUAUAAAAGGGAAACAAGUUCGCAUUUAAGGGCUAUCUUUACCCUCUGGUUUUGUUUAUAGGUGGGUGUAAACAAAACUCAAAAUUCAACCCGAGUUGAUGUGUAUCUGUUUGCCGCCAAUGUGAAAGGGACGUUCACGCCUCGAGAUCGUCUGAGUGCAAGUGAUUGCAAGAUGAUUGCUUCACUUGAAAAAAAAAUAAUAUUUUCUUGACGACCGAUUAGACACAGGUCUUACAACGAAUAUAAACAAGGCACUAGACAUGGUUCGCGUCGACAUUCAUGCGAAGAGAUUAUUUUUCAAAGCACGAAUAAUCCGCGAUGUUGUCAUUCUGCUUAUCGACGGAAUGUAUACUGUUUACAUACUAACGGAAUAUGUAAAAUUACAAACUUCAUAAACAAGAUAACCCAAAUUCACACAAGGCGGCAGCCCGGGGCCGAUGGCCGAGCUAUUGAAGACACAGUUUGAAGUCAUGUUUUUCUCCAUCGCAUUUGUCUCUAACGAUGACACGGCUGGCCUCCGAGUGAUGGAAGAGAUGUCAAACAAAGUCGAGGGAGAAAACUUUUUCUUUGCAAUUGACAGCAAGAAUGUCAUGGCCGCAGACGGAUAAUGUGUUACAUUACAAAUAUUACCCGAAGAAGCAAAUAUUGUCGGUAUUGUGAACAAACAAAAACAACAGACGCCAUAUAGUGUGAAAAAAAGUAUAGUCUAUAUUAAGCUUAUUUAAAUAUAUCUGCAAUAUUUACGAUUAUCGCACUUAGACA
Dreissena polymorpha is the source of this 2437-nucleotide long non-coding RNA. RefSeq lists it as uncharacterized. The record is from RefSeq and is a predicted model, not a curated record. The transcript is spliced from 3 exons. Lineage: Eukaryota; Metazoa; Mollusca; Bivalvia; Myida; Dreissenidae.